CCUGGUAUGCCUCAGUACGGCGAGUGAGCGGCAAAAGCUCAAAUUUGAAAUCCUUCGGGAGUUGUAAUUUGUAGGUUGGGAGACCCCGCGGCUAGUGGCACCAAGUCCCUUGGAACAGGGCGCCUUAGAGGGUGAGAGCCCCGUAGGUACCACAACACCGUCUUGUGUCUCCUCUCCAAAGAGUCGAGUUGUUUGGGAAUGCAGCUCAAAGUGGGUGGUAAAUUCCAUCUAAAGCUAAAUACCGGCGAGAGACCGAUAGCGAACAAGUACAGUGAUGGAAAGAUGAAAAGCACUUUGAAAAGAGAGUGAAACAGUACGUGAAAUUGUUGAAAGGGAAGGGCUUGCAAGCAGACACGGCCUUCGUGCCGGGCCAGCAUCGGUUGCUAGGGGUGGAUAAGGAACAAGGAAUGUAGCUCCUCGGAGUAUUAUAGCCUUGCGCGAUACACCCACUGGCGACCGAGGCCUGCGGUAUUCUUUACCUAGGAUGCUGGCGUAAUGGUUGCAAGCCGCCCGUCUUGAACCCCCGGACA
Molecule: ribosomal RNA, 530 nt
Filed under: Sungouiella intermedia
Lineage: Eukaryota; Fungi; Ascomycota; Pichiomycetes; Serinales; Metschnikowiaceae
Description: eukaryotic LSU rRNA
Rfam family: Eukaryotic large subunit ribosomal RNA
Source: RNAcentral